GGGGAUGAUCGGUUUCGACAUCGCCUGCGAACCCACGAGAAGCGGGCCGAGGAUGCAGGGUUAUCUCGUUAACGCUCUCUGCAAAACAAUAACUGCCAAUAAGAAGCAGUCUGACUUCGCCCUCGCUGCCUAAGCGAGCCCGAUAGUCCGUCAGCCCGGGUGCGUUCCCGACCCGGUCGCUGGCGUCAUCUAGGGAACUUGCUGCGCGUCGUCGCCUGAGCGACGUGCGGGACUUCACUCAGGCUGGGCCUGUCGACUUGGGUGCCUGUGGCAAAGGUCGGGGCCGAGCAGAACGCUUGCACAGGCUGCGCCCGGAGAAGGCGUGGAAUCACAGCGAUGGACGGGGGUUCAAUUCCCCCCAUCUCCACCA
Molecule: transfer-messenger RNA, 370 nt
Filed under: Agromyces indicus
Lineage: Bacteria; Bacillati; Actinomycetota; Actinomycetes; Micrococcales; Microbacteriaceae
Rfam family: transfer-messenger RNA
About the family: Bacterial tmRNA, also known as 10Sa RNA or SsrA, is named for its dual tRNA and mRNA-like properties. Its role is to liberate the mRNA from a stalled ribosome.
Source: RNAcentral